RNAcentral lists this ribosomal RNA (552 nucleotides) under Aureobasidium proteae. Its description in RNAcentral is "eukaryotic LSU rRNA". It matches the Rfam family "Eukaryotic large subunit ribosomal RNA", at positions 88 to 655 of the family's 3401-position model. The record is from RNAcentral. Lineage: Eukaryota; Fungi; Ascomycota; Dothideomycetes; Dothideales; Saccotheciaceae.
GGCGAGUGANGCGGCAACAGCUCAAAUUUGAAAGCUAGCCUUCGGGUUCGCAUUGUAAUUUGUAGAGGAUGAUUUGGGGAAGCCGCCUGUCUAAGUUCCUUGGAACAGGACGUCAUAGAGGGUGAGAAUCCCGUAUGUGACAGGAAAUGGCACCCUAUGUAAAUCUCCUUCGACGAGUCGAGUUGUUUGGGAAUGCAGCUCUAAAUGGGAGGUAAAUUUCUUCUAAAGCUAAAUAUUGGCGAGAGACCGAUAGCGCACAAGUAGAGUGAUCGAAAGAUGAAAAGCACUUUGGAAAGAGAGUUAAAAAGCACGUGAAAUUGUUGAAAGGGAAGCGCUUGCAAUCAGACUUGUUUAAACUGUUCGGCCGGUCUUCUGACCGGUUUACUCAGUUUGGACAGGCCAGCAUCAGUUUCGGCGGCCGGAUAAAGGCUCUGGGAAUGUGGCCUCCACUUCGGUGGAGGUGUUAUAGCCCAGGGUGUAAUACGGCCAGCCGGGACUGAGGUCCGCGCUUCGGCUAGGAUGCUGGCGUAAUGGUUGUAAGCGACCCGUCUU